UCUACGCCCCGACUUGAACGGAGCUCUUUUUGUGCAGCAAAGCGGAACAAAAAAGCGGGAGUGGAAGGCGGAAAAAGGC
This 79-nucleotide unclassified non-coding RNA is filed under the name Kaistella jeonii. RNAcentral's name for it is "Chryseobacterium jeonii Flavo-1 RNA". The record is from RNAcentral. Lineage: Bacteria; Pseudomonadati; Bacteroidota; Flavobacteriia; Flavobacteriales; Weeksellaceae.